RNAcentral lists this ribosomal RNA (420 nucleotides) under bacterium. RNAcentral describes it as "partial 16S ribosomal RNA". It matches the Rfam family "Bacterial small subunit ribosomal RNA", at positions 355 to 776 of the family's 1533-position model. The record is from RNAcentral.
UGGGGAAUUUUGCACAAUGGGGGGAACCUUGAUGCAGCGACGCCGCGUGAGGGAUGGAGGCCUUCGGGUUGUGAACCUCUUUCGCUCGUGUGCAAGCCGCUAUUUGGGUAGUGGUGAGUGUAGCGGGUAAAGAAGCGCCGGCUAACUACGUGCCAGCAGCCGCGGUAAUACGUAGGGCGCGCGCGUUGUCCGGAUUUAUUGGGCGUAAAGGUCUUGUAGGCGGUUUGUCGCGCCUGUCGUGUAAUCCUCUGGCUUAACUGGGGUGUGCGGUGGGUACGGGCAGGCUUGAGUGCGGUAGGGGAGAUUGGAAUUCCUGGUGUAGCGGUGGGAUGCGCAGAUAUCAGGAGGAACACCGGUGGCGAAGGCGGGUCUCUGGGCCGUUACUGACGCUGAGGAGCGAAAGCGUGGGGAGCGAACAGG